RNAcentral lists this ribosomal RNA (377 nucleotides) under uncultured bacterium. RNAcentral's name for it is "bacterial SSU rRNA". It matches the Rfam family "Bacterial small subunit ribosomal RNA", at positions 28 to 404 of the family's 1533-position model. The record is from RNAcentral.
GACGAACGCUGGCGGCGUGCUUAACACAUGCAAGUCGAGCGGUAAGGCCCUUUCGGGGGUACGACGAGCGGCGAACGGGUGAGUAACACGUGGGUGACCUGCCCUCAGCUCUGGGAUAAGCCUGGGAAACCGGGUACUAAUACCGGAUAUGACUCCAUGACGCAUGUUGUGGGGUGGAAAGCCUUGUGCGGCUGAGGAUGGGCCCGCGGCCUAUCAGCUUGUUGGUGGGGUGAUGGCCUACCAAGGCGACGACGGGUAGCCGGCCUGAGAGGGCGACCGGCCACACUGGGACUGAGACACGGCCCAGACUCCUACGGGAGGCAGCAGUGGGGAGUCUUGCGCAAUGGGCGAAAGCCUGACGCAGCGACGCCGCGUGA